This 96-nucleotide microRNA precursor is filed under the name Nicotiana tabacum (common tobacco). Its description in RNAcentral is "MIR6152 microRNA precursor family". It matches the Rfam family "MIR6152 microRNA precursor family". The record is from Rfam by way of RNAcentral. Lineage: Eukaryota; Viridiplantae; Streptophyta; Magnoliopsida; Solanales; Solanaceae.
UGGAUAGAUUAUUGUAUUCGACUGUAUUCACGGUGUGAAACAGGGGAUUACACUGUUUUUAAACGGAAAGUGAAUCAAUUAACAUAAUUGACUCAU